UUUUUGAAUGACGAAAAAUUU
This 21-nucleotide non-coding RNA is filed under the name Caenorhabditis elegans. The record is from RNAcentral. Lineage: Eukaryota; Metazoa; Nematoda; Chromadorea; Rhabditida; Rhabditidae.